Molecule: long non-coding RNA, 696 nt
Filed under: Ananas comosus (pineapple)
Lineage: Eukaryota; Viridiplantae; Streptophyta; Magnoliopsida; Poales; Bromeliaceae
Description: long non-coding RNA (ACOM_LNC042740)
Source: RNAcentral
UGUUUGGUCGGAGGGAUAAGGAGAGAAUAAAGAAUUUAUUCCUCUUAUUCUUCCAAACGCUGCCAUUAAAAUUUUUUAUUCUCUUCUUAACGAGUAAUUCCAGAAUAAUUCGUUAAAAAGAGAGAAUAGUAGUUCCAACCUUUAGAUAGAAUUAAUAAGACAUUUUCUAUCUUAUCCCUCUACUGAUUAAGUUAUAAAUAAUAUAAAAUAUUAUUAAUUAAUGCAAUUAACUUUUUAAUAAUUAACUAAUUAAUUAUUUGACUUGUCAAAUUAAUAAGUAUUUAAAUAGUAAUUAAUUUUUAUUUAUAACUAAUUAGUUAAUUAAAUAAUUAAAAUUGAUUCUUCAUCAUCUCAGAUAAUAUUCCUAAUUAAUUAAUUUAUUAAUUUGCUAAAAUAUUAUUUUAGGAAUAUUUAAAUGCUUAUUAUUUAUGCAAAUUAUUUUUUUUUCUCAUUCAUAAUCACUUUUAUUCCUACUAUUCCAACGCAAUCAUCCAAACGUAAUUAUUCUUUUCCCUCACAAUAUUUCGAUUCUCAUCCAAAUGCAAAAUUAAUCUGUAUAGUCUUUUUUACAAAAUUGAAAGAUAUGUAUCGUUUACUAUGCUUUCGAAAGUACAGAGGCCGCCACACUUUCAAAUUAUUUUCGAAAGCAAAAGAGACAAAAUAUAUAUAUAUAUAUAUAUAUAUAUAGAGAGAGAG